UGGAACUGCCGAGAGAGCUCC
RNAcentral lists this non-coding RNA (21 nucleotides) under Arabidopsis thaliana (thale cress). Lineage: Eukaryota; Viridiplantae; Streptophyta; Magnoliopsida; Brassicales; Brassicaceae. The record is from RNAcentral.